UGAAUACGAGACGCUACGGCGUCGAAGCAGUCUAUGUCAUACUUCCAAGAAAAGCUUGCACUGUCAUAAACAAAUAAUGCCUGUACCAUAACCGACACAGGUGGGUAGGUAGAGUAUACUAAGGGGCGCGAGAUAACUCUCUCUAAGGAACUCGGCAAAAUGACUCCGUAACUUCGGGAGAAGGAGUGCCUUAUUUAUAAGGUUGCAAUAACAAGAUCCAAGCAACUGUUUAUCAAAAACACAGGUCUCCGCUAAGUCGUAAGACGAUGUAUGGGGGCUGACGCCUGCCCAGUGCCAGAAGGUUAAAGAAGUUGGUUAGCAUUAGCGAAGCUGAUAACUGAAGCCCUGGUGAACGGCGGCCGUAACAAUAACGGUCCUAAGGUAGCGAAAUUCCUUGUCGGGUAAGUUCCGACCCGCACGAAAGGCGUAAUGAUUUGGAUACUGUCUCAGAGAGGGGCUCGGUGAAAUAGACUUGUCUGUGAAGAUGCGGACUACCUGCACCAGGACAGAAAGACCCUAUGAAGCUUUACUGUAACUUGAAAUUGAAAUUGGACUUUAUUUGCGCAGUAUAGGUGGGAGGCAUUGAUAAUAUUCUUGCGGGAAUGUUGGAGCCAUCAGUGAGAUACCACUCUUGUAAUGUUAGAUUUCUAACUUUGGAUCAUUAUCUGGUCAAAGGACAGUUUUCAGGCGGGCAGUUUGACUGGGGCGGUCGCCUCCUAAAUGGUAACGGAGGCGCACAAAGGUUUCCUCUGAACGGGUAGAAAUCGUAUCUAGAGUGUAAAGGCAUAAGGAAGCUUGACUGUGAGACCUACAAGUCGAGCAGGGACGAAAGUCGGUCUUAGUGAUCUGACGGUGCUGAGUGGAAAGGCCGUCACUCAACGGAUAAAAGUUACUCUAGGAUAACAGGCUGAUCUCCCCCAAGAGUUCACAUCGACGGGGAGGUUUGGCACCUCGAUGUCGGCUCAUCGCAUCCUGGGGCGGUAGUACGUCCCAAGGGUUGGGCUGUUCGCCCAUGAAAGCGGUACGCGAGCUGGGUUCAGAACGUCGUGAGACAGUUCGGUCCAUAUCCGGUGUAGGCGUUAGAAUAUUGAGAGGAGCCUUCUUUAGUACGAGAGGACCGAGAAGGACAUACCUCUGGUGUACCAGUUAUCGUGCCAACGGUAAACGCUGGGUAGCUAUGUAUGGAGAGGAUAACCGCUGAAAGCAUCUAAGUGGGAAGCCCACCUCAAGAUAAGUAUUCUC
Molecule: ribosomal RNA, 1242 nt
Filed under: metagenome
Description: bacterial LSU rRNA
Rfam family: Bacterial large subunit ribosomal RNA
Source: RNAcentral